CAGCAGCCACGGUAAUACGUAGGGUGCAAGCGUUAAUCGGAAUUAUUGGGCGUAAAGGGCUCGCAGGCGGUUUCUUAAGUCUGAUGUGAAAGCCCCCGGCUCAACCGGGGAGGGUCAUUGGAAACUGGGAAACUUGAGUGCAGAAGAGGAGAGUGGAAUUCCACGUGUAGCGGUGAAAUGCGUAGAGAUGUGGAGGAACACCAGUGGCGAAGGCGACUCUCUGGUCUGUAACUGACGCUGAGGAGCGAAAGCGUGGGGAGCAAACAGGAUUAGAUACCCCCGUAGUCCCUGUCUCUUAUAC
RNAcentral lists this ribosomal RNA (301 nucleotides) under uncultured bacterium. Its description in RNAcentral is "partial 16S ribosomal RNA". It matches the Rfam family "Bacterial small subunit ribosomal RNA", at positions 509 to 807 of the family's 1533-position model. The record is from RNAcentral.